Molecule: non-coding RNA, 351 nt
Organism: Aquila chrysaetos chrysaetos
Lineage: Eukaryota; Metazoa; Chordata; Aves; Accipitriformes; Accipitridae
Source: the annotation of a RefSeq genome assembly
AUGCUGACUCUUUUGCUUGCUCUUUUACCUGGUGCUGGUGUCGGAAGGCUCAUCACACAGUGGCCAGCAGAAAUCCUUAACAGAGCUGGAGAGACUGUGGACAUCUCCUGCUACCAGAAUUAUACCACACUUGCCUAUAUGUUGUGGUACCAGCAGACUCCAAGAAAUGGUCUGAAUUUAGUAGCCAGUACUUCUCCAUGGAUGCAUAACUCUUAUGAGGAAGGUUACAAUGAGGCCAAGUUUGAGAUAAACAGAAAUCAUAAUGAUCAUUCUGUGAUGACCAUCAAGAAUGUAACAUCCAAGGAUGCAGCCACAUAUUUCUGUGCUGCGAGUGAUCACACGGUACAGUGA